UCAGAGAGGGUCCGUGACCUGACCUACUCAGUCCAGCAGGAUGCAGACAGCAAGCAUGUGGAUGUGCAUCUAGUUCAGCUGAAGGAGAAAGGACCCUGCUUUCAGUGUUCGGGCUUCAACCUUCUGCUCCCUCCCAUGAUCCCUCCCUUCUUCACGUUCUGGGGAGCUGCAACAGAAGACACUGCUUUCUUGGCACACACCCGUUUAUUUGUGGGCGUGUGGACUGGUAUCUAGGAAACUUUCCAAGGAGCACAGUCAUGCACGGUAUGGAAACCGCGUGUGUAAGCCACACCCCGCUCCCUGCACAGCAGCGUCUCUGGUGAAGUUUCUGUUGACUAAUUCUCUUCUGUAUCUUCUGGCUGGACUCUGGAUGUGGGCUGAUUACUUUUUGUUGUUCACGGUGUUUGCGUUGAUUUUUAUAUAUUUUUUCUGAUUAUAAAGUAACACAUGGACUAUCUUACCUCACUAUCCUGUCCAGUAGGGUAGCCUCUGGUCACAUCUCAUUAUUUAACUUUAAAUUAAUUAAAGUGAACUUAAACUAACAAAAAGUUAGUUAUUUUUUUUUUCUGUCAGUGUGAACUAGAGAGCACAGAGAACCUCUUUUGCGUGGGUAAAGAGCCUCAUUGUGUUAAGGCUAAUGUCUUAACCUCCCUCCAUACCUUUGCUCCCAGACAAGGAUAAGUUCUGGCCCAGUUCUACGGUGUCAUACUGGGUCCUUUGCUCUUACUGUAAGUGCUCCAUCAUAUUCUACUGAUGGAUAGUUCUUAAUCUACCGAUGAAUAAACGAUUGCUUCUAUUUUCCCUGUUGU
Molecule: long non-coding RNA, 809 nt
Filed under: Rattus norvegicus (Norway rat)
Lineage: Eukaryota; Metazoa; Chordata; Mammalia; Rodentia; Muridae
Description: long non-coding RNA NONRATT024278
Source: RNAcentral